This is a microRNA precursor of Bison bison bison, 78 nucleotides long. The record is from Ensembl. Lineage: Eukaryota; Metazoa; Chordata; Mammalia; Artiodactyla; Bovidae.
CCGCCGGUUCUCAGGGUCCGUGAGCUCCUCGGCGUACUCGGAGAACAUUCGCCGGAACUCCGGGUCCUGGAAGGCGGA